GUUGUUGCGGUUAAAAGCUCGUAGUUGGAUUUCUGUCGGUGAGGUUCGGUCCGCCCAAGUGGUUGGUACGUGAUCCGCCACCGGCAUCUUCCUGGGGAAUGUGUCUGCCCUUAAUUGGGUGGUACAUAAGCCAGGACUUUUACUUUGAAGAAAUGAGAGUGUUUCAAGCAGGCAUGCGCCGUGAAUACGUUAGCAUGGGAUAAUAGCAUCGGACCUCGUUCCAAAGCUGUUGGUUUCUUGGACCGAGGUAAAGGUGAAUAGGGAUUGUUGGGGGCAUUCGUAUUUGACUGUCAGAGGUGAAAUUCUUGGAUCUGUUGAAGACGGACUACUGCGAAAGCAUCUGCCAAAGAUGUUCUCAUUGAUCAAGAACGAAAGUUAGGUGAUCGAAGACGAUCAGAUACCGUCCUAGUCUUAACCAUAAACUAUGCCGACUGGAGAUCGGGGGUCGUUAAUUAUGUGACGCCCUCUGCAUCUUGAGAGAAAUCAAAGUCUUUGGGUUCCGGGGGGAGUAUGGUCGCAAGGCUGAAACUUAAAGGAAUUGACGGAAGGGCACCACCAGGAGUGGAGCCUGCGGCUUAAUUUGACUCAACAC
RNAcentral lists this ribosomal RNA (592 nucleotides) under uncultured Syndiniales. Its description in RNAcentral is "SSU rRNA". It matches the Rfam family "Eukaryotic small subunit ribosomal RNA", at positions 609 to 1206 of the family's 1831-position model. The record is from RNAcentral. Lineage: Eukaryota; Dinophyceae; Syndiniales.